Molecule: ribosomal RNA, 253 nt
Filed under: uncultured bacterium
Lineage: Bacteria
Description: partial 16S ribosomal RNA
Rfam family: Bacterial small subunit ribosomal RNA
Source: RNAcentral
UACAGAGGUCCCAAGCGUUGUUCGGAUUCAUUGGGCGUAAAGGGUGCGUAGGUGGUAAGGUAAGUCGGAUGUGAAAGCUCCGAGCUCAACUCGGAAAUGGCAUUGGAAACUACCUUGCUCGAGUGUUUGAGGGGGGACUGGAAUACUUGGUGUAGCAGUGAAAUGCGCAGAUAUCAGGAGGAACACCGGUGGCGAAGGCGGAUCUCUGGGCCUGUUCUGACGCUGAGGCGCGAAAGCUAGGGGAGCGAACAGG